AUGCUGUGAUGAAUAUAUAUAACACAUCAUGCUGACACACUGUGGUGAAUACUCAACCCUGAGCAUA
Parambassis ranga (Indian glassy fish) is the source of this 67-nucleotide small nucleolar RNA. Its record names the gene SNORD63. It matches the Rfam family "Small nucleolar RNA SNORD63". From Rfam's summary of the family: snoRNA U63 is found in both humans and mice. U63 is a member of the C/D class of snoRNA which contain C (UGAUGA) and D (CUGA) box motifs. NCBI's taxonomy places the organism in Eukaryota, Metazoa, Chordata, Actinopteri, Ambassidae. The record is from Ensembl.